AGAGUUUGAUCCUGGCUCAGAAUGAACGCUGGCGGCGUGCCUAACACAUGCAAGUCGGAUGUGCCGCAAGGUGCAUGGCAGACGGGUGAGUAACGCGUGGGGAAUCUACCUCUUUGUGGGGAAUAACGCUCCGAAAGGAGUGGUAAUACCGCAUGAGAUCCAUGGCUGGGAUGCUGUGGAUGAAACCUGGGGACCGCAAGGCCUGGGGCAAGGAGAGGAUCCUGCGUCUGAUUAGCUAGUUGGUGAGGUAAUGGCCCACCAAGGCGACGAUCAGUAGCCGGCCUGAGAGGGUGAUCGGCCACACUGGAACUGAGACACGGUCCAGAUUCCUACGGGAGGCAGCAGUGGGGAAUUUUGCGCAAUGGGCGAAAGCCUGACGCAGCAACGCCGCGUGGGUGAUGAAGGUCUUCGG
This 412-nucleotide ribosomal RNA is filed under the name uncultured bacterium. Its description in RNAcentral is "bacterial SSU rRNA". It matches the Rfam family "Bacterial small subunit ribosomal RNA", at positions 8 to 421 of the family's 1533-position model. The record is from RNAcentral.